CGGUAUGGGUCCCAUACCCACACCCAUACUAGCGUCGUGUCGACACGGGUGUGGCACCUAAACUGAAGUGUCGGAGCAACUUAGAUUGUGAUUAGAAGAGCUCAGCUAAUGUUGUAUUAUUAACGACAAAACAAGCAUGUCAUUGGCCACAGUCAAGAUAACAUUUUAAGUAACAGAACAUCUUUAUGCAUAGGCAUAUUGAUAUUACUUUCUCCCUACACAAGUAUUUCAAUUAAGCUAUUAUUUCUAAACAUUGCUGUUCAGAUAGAAGUUUGUUUUGGGUAUGACGCACUUGCAAUUGAACUUACAUGAGAGCACUUCUCCCUCAACCAUGUUUUGAUUAGUUUAGAAAGAUUCAGAGCAAUAGGUGCUUAGACUACAGCCAUAAAAGCUGGACCCCAAUGAUAUUUGUUUAAUUCAUGGAUCAGUUGACUGAUUUGCUACUCAAGCUCAAUAUGUCCUGUAUUUUAGUGAAAGACUGAGCUUCUAUAAUUGAGAUAUACACAACUGAACUGUUACAAAGUAGUAAAUAAAUGCCAGUUUGCCACUAUUAAAUCCCAGCUGCAACAUACAUAAGAAGGUUAUUGAGUUGUGUGACCAUCUCAUCUAAAAGCUUAAGCCAUUAGAGAGAGUAAACUUUUAUUUACUUAUGUCUUCAACACACUCCCUCACGUGCGGGCUUGAUUCUUUUUGAUGAGCCAAGUACGUGGAAAUUCUUUUUGAUAUUGGGUGGCGGUGAGACUCGAACCCAGGACCUCUGCCUGCUGUGAUACCAUGUUGAAGUGUGUGACCAUCUCAUAUAAAAGCUUAAGCUAUUAUAGAGAGUACACUUUUAUUUACAUAAUUAUGUCUUCAACAAAAGUUACCCACACUUCAUAAAGGAGUAUAUACUGGGGGUUGAAACCAAGACUUUAAAACCAAGGGCCUCGCCACUUAGGCUAGGCUUCAUGCUAGAGUUAUUUCUAAUUAAUUUGAUAUCUCUAAUUUGGAACUUCUUCCACAUGGGCUUCAUCUGCAUGUACCAGUGUAGUCCACAAACUGAUUUUGCAUGAACACCUAUUAAUCGAGUUAUUUCUAAUUAAUUCGACAUCUCUAAUUUGAAACUUCUUCCACAUGUGUUUCAUCUGCAUGUACCAGUGUAGUCCACAAACUGAUUUUGCAUGACACCUAUUAAUGUCUAUCCCUUGACAAGCAUAAAAACUCUUUCUCUGGACAGUUGACAGUCUUUGGAGUCCUUAC
RNAcentral lists this long non-coding RNA (1239 nucleotides) under Nicotiana benthamiana. RNAcentral describes it as "long non-coding RNA (NBEN_LNC008845)". The record is from RNAcentral. Lineage: Eukaryota; Viridiplantae; Streptophyta; Magnoliopsida; Solanales; Solanaceae.